GAGGGGGUGGCGUGUGAGUGCGUGGAGGGUAAAAGCCAGUCAGUCAGUGAGAAGCAAAGAUCAACCACCUCAGAAGAGCCAGAUUCCACUUCUGUGGCCAGGACUUUUACAUUAUGGCUGGUCCGAUUGUUUUACCCUGCGUUCUAUGCUACUAAACCUUGGAUCAUUCCUAAAGUACAAAUUCUGUUCUCGAACCACAAACAAGGCUAAAAGAUCGGAGGAAAUUCAGUGAAUAUACAGGAUUGGGGUGUCUGAUGAUUUGUGAGCCUCAAGUGACUACUCUGUGGAAUCAUCUGUCCUUGCCUUUGAAUUAGCUUUCCCUAGGCCAUGAGUCAACAUUAGUAGUUUAUACAUCCAAAUUGAUGACAAGAGCACCUCAAAGGCAGCAGCCUCAAGGAGCAGCCAUGGCCCCAGACUUGUCGCACGGAUGCAGAAAACUUAAUGGAGGAGGCUGAGCAAAACAGAGCGUGACACU
RNAcentral lists this long non-coding RNA (475 nucleotides) under Homo sapiens (human). Its description in RNAcentral is "mir-99a-let-7c cluster host gene". Lineage: Eukaryota; Metazoa; Chordata; Mammalia; Primates; Hominidae. The record is from RNAcentral.